AUUGAACGCUGGCGGAAUGCUUUACACAUGCAAGUCGAGCGGCAGCGCGGGGGCAACCCUGGCGGCGAGCGGCGAACGGGUGAGUAACAUAUCGGAACGUACCCAGUCGUGGGGGAUAACUAUCCGAAAGGAUAGCUAAUACCGCAUACGUCCUGAGGGAGAAAGCGGGGGAUCGUAAGACCUCGCGCGAUUGGAGCGGCCGAUAUCGGAUUAGCUAGUUGGUGGGGUAAAGGCUCACCAAGGCGACGAUCCGUAGCGGGUCUGAGAGGACGACCCGCCACACUGGAACUGAGACACGGUCCAGACUCCUACGGGAGGCAGCAGUGGGGAAUUUUGGACAAUGGGGGCAACCCUGAUCCAGCCAUUCCGCGUGAGUGAAGAAGGCC
Molecule: ribosomal RNA, 386 nt
Filed under: uncultured bacterium
Lineage: Bacteria
Description: bacterial SSU rRNA
Rfam family: Bacterial small subunit ribosomal RNA
Source: RNAcentral